CGAGCGACAGCGACGGCGCCGGCCGGGGCCGCGGCGCGCGGAAGCCACUUUGCACGGUCAGCGCCGGGCACAAGUUUGUUCCGCGGCUCCCGGGGGCCUGGGCGCUGAGGGAGAAUCGCGCUGAGGGGGCCAGGAGGAGGGGGAGAGGGAGGCGCCGAAGGGCACAAGAGUGGGGAAAAGUGCGGAAAGAAGCAACAGCCGCUCCACCCGGGACCAGAAAAGUGGCCAGUGCGUCCCGGCCGCCCGCCCUGCGCCGGGGAUGCGGCGGCGUCGGCGCCGGCUAACGGUCCAGGGAGGCGGCAGGGGCGGCGGGAGCCGCUAGGCGGAGAGAGACCAGCCCGGACUCCCUUCCCUUCCCUUCCAGGGACGCCUGGUUUCCCCCCAAGCGAACCGGGAUGGGAAGUGACUUCAAUGAGAUUGAACUUCAGCUGGAUUGAAAGAGAGGCUAGAAGUUCCGCUUGCCAGCAGCCUCCUUAGUAGAGCGGAAUGAGUAAUACCCACACGGUGCUUGUCUCACUUCCCCAUCCGCACCCGGCCCUCACCUGCUGUCACCUCGGCCUCCCACACCCGGUCCGCGCUCCCCGCCCUCUUCCUCGCGUAGAACCGUGGGAUCCUAGGUGGCAGGACUCAGAGCUAAGGUAUCCACAGGCCAUGAAUUCCUUCCUAAAUGAGCGGUCAUCGCCGUGCAGGACCUUAAGGCAAGAAGCAUCGGCUGACAGAUGUGAUCUCUGAACCUGAUAGAUUGCUGAUUUUAUCUUAUUUUAUCCUUGACUUGGUACAAGUUUUGGGAUUUCUGAAAAGACCAUACAGAUAACCACAAAUAUCAAGAAAGUCGUCUUCAGUAUUAAGUAGAAUUUAGAUUUAGGUUUCCUUCCUGCUUCCCACCUCCUUCGAAUAAGGAAACGUCUUUGGGACCAACUUUAUGGAAUAAAUAAGCUGAGCUGUAUUUCAAGUAAUAUAGUUAUAAAUUAACAAUGUAGCAGUUAUUGAUAGAGAAAUUGAGAAAACUGAAACGUGACCGGAGUAUUGGAAAUAACGUAGUACAUCACCUAGCACAAUGACACAUAGUAGGUGCUCAAUAAAUUUAUGCUUAUAAUUUUUGUCACUUCUAUGGCAGGAUUUUUUUAUUAGGUUAAAAUUAUCUUUUAAACACCUUCCGGAAUUUUAGAAUAUUCAUUAAUAAUGUCUUCAAACCUUUCAACUGAAAUAAAUUUACAGCUGAAGUCUGAUGAUUUAAAGUUAGAAAGUUUAAUCUUGAAUAUAAAUGAACAUUUUCUCUCCCACAUUUUCUUGGGCAUUUUGAGAAGUAAAUGCGUUAUUUAUUGGUCCAUGAAAUGUGACUGUAAAUAUUCUUUGCUAUACAUUAUGUCUAUAUAUCUGCAUUCAUCCUCAAUGCCAAAACUAGAAUCAUUAGUCUUAAUGAUCAUUUUAAGUACAGGCAGUCCUCGCUUUCCUUGAUACCAUGUUAACCGAAACUUGUGUAUGUCAACACGGUGUCCUUGCUUUGCUUGGUUAAGUGUGAGUUCUUCCUCCCUUUUUUUAAGAGUUGUACAAUGUUUUUCAGUCGCCUACCGAAUCAGGUCAUAGACUAUGGAAUUGACCCCACCCCACCAACAUUUUUACAGCUACCCUGAUUUCUGACCAGAAAGGAAAAAAAAACUUUCCAGCUCUAUCACACAUUUUACCUACUCUUAAACUUAGGAGGUAUUACAAAUAGCAUUUUCUCAUGUUCUCUUUCUGGCCUGUACCUCCCUGCUAAGCUUCCUUCAGUGUUCAUCCUCACCUCAUAGAGAGAUGAAGUGAAGAGACAAACAGAAGUCAUUUUCUUCCUUACUUUAGUGGUUUCUGGUUUAGUUAGUUUGGGCCAAACUGUGGACAAGUACCUUUUCAGGUAACUUUUUUUUCUUAUUUCUAUGUCCUCAACACCUAGUGGAGUACGUAGCCAAUAGUAGAUGCUUAAUAAACAUUUCUUAAAUUAAUAUUGUUGACCUUUUCUGACCCUGUUCUUGACAGUAAGGUACAUAAUCUGCCUUCAUCCCUUUAGUCCUUAGGAACAGAUAAAGUCAUGGAUAUGAAAGUGAUCACUGUCAUUAAUAUCCACAUUAAAAUUGCUCUUGAUUUUAGUUUCUCCAUAAUCAUUUUCCCUAAACAAUGAACUCUGUUCACCUUUUUUUUUAAAAUAUGCACAGUGAAUAUUACUGGUAGCCCAAAUCUUCUAACAUAAAAUUUCCAUUUUGUAAAAGCUUCUGAUAAGCAUAUAUGUUAUGAAUUGAAUGUUUGAUUAUUAUACUUUAAUAUUCUUGAAAAUAUUGAUACCUGGACUGGAAAGAAAACAGACAAAAGUAAAUCUCAGAAUAAAUUACUGCUUUAAACAUGAUGCAUGUGUGACGGUUGCUUCUUAUCUCU
This 2406-nucleotide long non-coding RNA is filed under the name Homo sapiens (human). Its description in RNAcentral is "HSALNT0357194". The record is from RNAcentral. Lineage: Eukaryota; Metazoa; Chordata; Mammalia; Primates; Hominidae.